CUGCACCACUCUUCCUCUGCACAGGUUUUGAUAAAUCUCUCCCAUAGACCCUGACUGUUGCAAGAAAAAAAUGAUAAAAUUAGCCGGUUUAGAAAUCACAUCGCUUCUUACUUUGGAGGGCCCCACUUACCUGGUGAAUUAUUGAAGGAUUCCUGAUACCAACAGACCACGCAUGAGCAACCAAUUGAGUCACUCCCGACGCGUUUCACACUUAUCUUAUUGAUGGUGCUGGAGUUACAUUUCUCUUCUACAGUUUGGAUGUAAUCCUGGAAGUCUGGCCAGUUUCCUCCAUGCACCGAUCCUUUCCACCUAUCCUUUCCUUACACUGAAAGAUAUGGCAAUUUUACUAUAAAGUAGCCAAUCACAACAUAGGAUAGGUCAGAAAAGAUCUGUGACAGGAUGAAAAUACGGGUGGUGAAGAUAAGCCGAAGAUUCCCAGAAGAGAUUGAUGGAAGACUGAAGAAAACCACUUUGGAUCCAUAUCAGGAAUUGUGGAAUGAAGCAGAAGAAGAGCUGAUGACACCUAUGAGGAGAGUUGCGGACUGCAGCACUGAGUUGGAAUUUUCAGUAUGGAAGCCUUUGAGUUUUCUCAAGAAGACAACGCUUGUCCAUAGGCCAUAUCAGAACAUUUAAAUAUCAUAGAGGGUAACAAAGAGAAGCUGACACUUAUGGUAAGCCAGACCUGCACUGAUCAUUACCUUAUCACCAUCAUGAAGAGGAGUAGUCUGGAACAUUUCUGUGAUUAAUCUCAUCUCCGGAAUACAUAGCGGUGCCGGAGUAUAAAGUGAGAGAUUUGUGGGCAGUUUUACAAGUGAAAGAUUUGUGCAUAGCUAUUGGGACAAUUAUUGGCACAUUUAAUUGUGGAACUACAAUACAAUUUAAUGGAUGUCCUAGUUAUUUAUACAUAAGUUAUAUACAGACAAAGUAUAUUGGGACAAUACAACAAGUAACGCUAACUGGAUUAACAGAACUAUUGGUGGCAAUACUGUGUAUUUUAUUGUGGCAUUUUUAUAAGGUGGUUUCACAAGGGCCCUGUGGACCACCUGUACAUUAAUGUUUUUAUAUAAGGUAUGACAAAUAAAUAUUUUACUAUCCAAAUAUCUAUAGACUUUGAGCUCCAGCAUUCUUUUCCUUUUCUUUGCAUUUUUUACACCGUGGGUAUAGGUGUUGGAUUGGAUUGCUCAGUCUAGCCAGUGCUUUUUAGAGAUAAUUGAGCCACUUCCGCUUUUUUCUGUUUCAAAAAUAAAUAUAAACAUAUGUGGUACUGCUGCGUGCGUAAAUGUCCAAACUAUUAAAAUGUAAGGUUAGUUAAAUUGCACGGUUAAUGGGGUACAUGUAAAAAAUUGGUCACUUCAUAUACCAUAAA
Long non-coding RNA from Hyla sarda, 1366 nucleotides. RefSeq lists it as uncharacterized. The transcript has 7 exons. Lineage: Eukaryota; Metazoa; Chordata; Amphibia; Anura; Hylidae. The record is from RefSeq and is a predicted model, not a curated record.